RNAcentral lists this ribosomal RNA (372 nucleotides) under uncultured organism. RNAcentral describes it as "partial 16S ribosomal RNA". It matches the Rfam family "Bacterial small subunit ribosomal RNA", at positions 527 to 896 of the family's 1533-position model. The record is from RNAcentral.
GUAGGUGGCAAGCGUUGUCCGGAAUUAUUGGGCGUAAAGCGCGCGCAGGCGGUUCUUUAAGUCUGAUGUGAAAGCCCACGGGCUCAACCGUGGAGGGUCAUUGGAAACUGGAGAACUUGAGUACAGAAGAGGAAAGCGGAAUACCACGUGUAGCGGUGAAAUGCGUAGAGAUGUGGAGGAACACCAGUGGCGAAGGCGGCUUUCUGGUCUGUAACUGACGCUGAGGCGCGAAAGCGUGGGGAGCAAACAGGAUUAGAUACCCUGGUAGUCCACGCCGUAAACGAUGAGUGCUAAGUGUUAGGGGGUUUCCGCCCCUUAGUGCUGCAGCUAACGCAUUAAGCACUCCGCCUGGGGAGUACGGCCGCAAGGCUA